AGGUACUCUGACCACGUAUACGCAGUAGGCGGGACCCUCUCAGGGUCAAGCAAUGUGGGACUACUUCCAGUAGUUGACUGAGCUCCGCAGCUGAGCCGGAUCGUGUGCUUACGAGCCUUGAGCCUUCGUAGGACUCCUUCAUUCAUUUUUUCCCUUGAAUUUUGUUUUUGUUGUAAUUGAAUUCCUUAGAUAUGCUCUGUUAUCGCCCUUGCUAGGGUUUGAUUUUUGAGGCCGGAAGCCUUUGUUGUAAACUGUUUAUUUGCUUUAAAGCAUGCUGCUGGUUGGGUA
Molecule: long non-coding RNA, 288 nt
Organism: Prunus persica (peach)
Lineage: Eukaryota; Viridiplantae; Streptophyta; Magnoliopsida; Rosales; Rosaceae
Exons: 2
Source: RefSeq, a predicted model, not a curated record